RNAcentral lists this ribosomal RNA (388 nucleotides) under uncultured bacterium. Its description in RNAcentral is "bacterial SSU rRNA". It matches the Rfam family "Bacterial small subunit ribosomal RNA", at positions 28 to 417 of the family's 1533-position model. The record is from RNAcentral.
GACGAACGCUGGCGGCGUGCUUAACACAUGCAAGUCGAGCGGUAAGGCCCUUUCGGGGGUACACGAGCGGCGAACGGGUGAGUAACACGUGGGUGACCUGCCCUCAGCUCUGGGAUAAGCCUGGGAAACCGGGUCUAAUACCGGAUAUGACUCCAUGACGCAUGUUGUGGGGUGGAAAGCCUUGUGCGGCUGAGGAUGGGCCCGCGGCCUAUCAGCUUGUUGGUGGGGUGAUGGCCUACCAAGGCGACGACGGGUAGCCGGCCUGAGAGGGCGACCGGCCACACUGGGACUGAGACGCGGCCCAGACUCCUACGGGAGGCAGCAGUGGGGAAUCUUGCGCAAUGGGCGAAAGCCUGACGCAGCGACGCCGCGUGAGGGAUGACGGCCU